This 513-nucleotide ribosomal RNA is filed under the name uncultured bacterium. RNAcentral describes it as "bacterial SSU rRNA". It matches the Rfam family "Bacterial small subunit ribosomal RNA", at positions 15 to 518 of the family's 1533-position model. The record is from RNAcentral.
GAUCAUGGCUCAGGAUGAACGCUAGCGACAGGCUUAACACAUGCAAGUCGAGGGGCAGACAUAAAAGUAGCAAUACUUGGUGGCGACCGGCGCACGGGUGAGUAACGCGUAUGCAACCUACCUAUCAGAGGGGAAUAACCCGGCGAAAGUCGGACUAAUACCGCAUAAAACAGGGACACCGCAUGGUGAUAUUUGUUAAAGAAAUUCGCUGAUAGAUGGGCAUGCGUUCCAUUAGGUAGUUGGUGAGGUAACGGCUCACCAAGCCGACGAUGGAUAGGGGAACUGAGAGGUUGGUCCCCCACACUGGUACUGAGACACGGACCAGACUCCUACGGGAGGCAGCAGUGAGGAAUAUUGGUCAAUGGGCGAGAGCCUGAACCAGCCAAGUCGCGUGAAGGAAAAGAAGGAUCUAUGGUUCGUAAACUUCUUUUGCAGGGGAAUAAAGUGCAGGACGUGUCCUGUUUUGUAUGUACCCUGAGAAUAAGGAUCGGCUAACUCCGUGCCAGCAGCAGC